AUGGGGCUCGGCCUCUGUGGCGCAGCAGCAGCUAUCAGCAGGCUUCUUAUGUCAGCAACGCUCCAGAAAUAGCAAUGACGGGGGCUGCGGGACAGAGACCCACAGGGUCCGAUCAGUGGGGUCCUGAAAACUCUGGGUUUGUUUCCAGAGCGGUCAGAAAGGUUGGAGUAAAGAAAAAAUUAGUCAGGUUGAUUCCAGGAGGAGCACUCUCCUGCAGGAUCCGAAAUAACACCACUGAGGGGGCAGAGCUUCACGGGUGCCAACCAGGAGGUGACCCAGACAACUUUCAGAGAGGACAACUGGUGGCCCUUGGAGAAGACAGUACUGAGGAUAGCUCCAGAAGGAUGCAGCUGACGUCUGUACUGCCCUGUACCAGGGUGCCCUGCUGUUCAAGACCUCUGGAUUUCUCCAUUGACACAACGAAAAGUAGCCUACAUCCCCUACAGUGACGACUCAGCUGGAAAAUUUCCUCAUGCUGAUCCCAUGCUCCAUCGUCUUGUAGCUGGAACUCAAAUGCAGUGCCGGGAGGAGUGUGGAGGCUCAGAAGCCAGACCCCGCAGAUUCCCCACCCUCCGAGAAGUGCAGGUCACGGGACAAAUGCUCUCAUGCCUGCUGGGAACAGCCGACCCUGAAAUGGGUGAAAAUAUUAAAUUAAGACUUUUUUCUGUGCCCCCCAGCAAAAGCAGUUAUGGAACUAGUUAAGCGUCAGGGUUGCUGCAACCUGAAUUUCUAAUUCUGACUUCCAGGGUCUUCUUGGGACAUUUGCCUUCCUUUUAAUAACACAUUUUAAUGACAUCACACAAUUCUUGGUCUUUUGUGGAAAAUGCUGUCUUCCAUUUAUAGCCCUGAAUUCCCCAGGAAGGGGGUCCUUGAGUUUCACUUUUUUUGCAGUUCUUGUUUUGAAUUAACUAUCACUGUAAAGAAACUCAUAAUGAGCAAACUAUUUUCACUGCUUUGUGCUGGGUCAUGUGAUCCCCAGCUGCUUCGAAGCCUCUGCGAUAAGUAGCGAUGAUUUGAAAAGUGUGCAGCUAUCCGGCCCUUCGUCAUGGAGGUGACUCAAACACACACGUGCUUGUUUACAAGUUUUCGGUAUUUUAAUUUUACUACUGGUAUUGCAAAUUUUCCACUGAUUCUUGCCAGAUGUGACUCCCUAAGUAUUGGUUUGAAGUUGUUCUGUUAAAUAACACUACUAACUUAAUCUUUGGGUAUAUGUAUAUACAUUUAGGGAAUUUAAAAACAACUUCUGUUUGCCUACUAUUUCAAUCAAGCACAUUUUAAGAUUUUUACAUGUGUAAUUUACGGCCUCUCUAUGAACCUAUACAAUCUUUGCUGUAAAAAACUCUCACCUCUGAGUAAACCAAAUAGAUGAGGAAGUUUCCUGAGGUGCAGUAAGGGCUUGCCAGUGUCAAGGCAGGCAUGGCAGCUGACAAUCCAGCUUGUGGUCAUUGGCAGAGGGUCAGCUGUUAGGACUUGGAACCAGCAAGGACAAGGACAGCACGAGGUACGUAGGACAGCUGAACCCAGCACCUGAAGGGCACAGAGAGAUAAAAAGCCCAGUCCCUGUGAAGGCACAGAAGUGAGUCAGAUGCCUUCCCUCACCACAGGCCACGGAAGCGCUUACUAAAUCAGCUUACGCAAACUUAACCAACUCUGGAGUUUCUGCACAUCUUCCCUGCCAUUUGUGGACAUUCUCGGCUUUUGGUGGUGAUCUGGAUUAAGUUUCCACAGCUCUGGUGUAAACUUUGUCCUUAUUUGAGUUCCAAGAGCCACCUCUUCCCAGAGGGCCAUGGUAGAAAGUUAAUGAUCACAUACUGGGCCUUCCCUAGUCUUCAGGUAAAUUGGGAAAACUCUUGGUUUCUGGUUAUGCCUCUGCGGGAAUGCUCACAUCUGCCUGGCACAGGGCAAAUGCAGGAGCCUCUGUCAAGUGUUGUGCACCCUACUCGACAUUUGGAGAUCAAAGCCACCUGCAAUAGGUCUAACAGGAACUGAAGUCUGUGUGCGGGCCUGGGUCAGCAUCCAGGAUUACCUCUUACUGAAAAGUGGUCAGGCCAACUGUUUUCAGUCUAUACUUGUGUAAAAGGAAGGUUGGGAUUUUUGUUCACUUUGAUUUUUACAUUUAUUGGUAUGAGUGUGUAUGUACACAGCCCAUACCAUGGCACACGGGUGGACCUCAGAGGGCCGCUUUCAGAAGUUUGUUCUUUCUUAACCAUGCAGAUCUUGAGGGUCAAAAUCAGGUCCUCAGGCUUGGUAGCAAGCAUGUAGCCUACGGAGCUACCUGACAGCUCAAGUUAGUUUUUCUAAGCUCUGUAUUUACUUAAAUGAAGCAAGAGGGUUAAACAUUUACUGAGAAUAAUUUUUAUAAAAAGCGAUAACAAGAUUAGGUCCGUUUUUACCUUUUUAGCUUGUUUUGUGUGAGGGGUCUGUGCACAUGAGUGCACGGGCCUGGGACUUGAGGGGGUGCGCAUAUUUCUUGGGGAUGGUUGCAUGGCUUGUGAGCCACCGAGGUGGGCGCUCUGAACCUGGGCACUCUGCAAGAACAGCGUGUGGUCUUCGCCUCUCCACCAUCUCCCCAGCCCUAAUUCAUUUCCUUUUUGUUCAAAUAUUUUUCCACCAUCGCACAAAUGAGCUUGAAAAAUUGUUUUCUAUAGCUCAUUGUGGGAAAUACAGUUAAAACCCCAUUCGUGUUCUUCCCCUCUGAAAUUAGAGGGCAUCCAUUUCAAGUUCAUUCCUUUGAAAUUGUGAUGGUUACAGUGAAUGAAAACUGAUGACUAAGCUUACGCCUGGAAAGCGCAUCUUCUCACGCCUGUGUGACACAGGUCACCUUAAAGGAGCAGCUCCCUCCCAGGAGAGUGGAUCCCUGAAGCUCACAUCGCUCAUUCUCUCAAUCUUGUCUCAUUGCUGCAGCGUAUCUCUCACCCUUUGUGUGUGCCUGUAUACUUGCUACAAACUUCUCCCAAGGUUUUUCUCAAGAAGAAACCCGGGACAAUAACCUGCUGAGAUUUCUUUUACUGGAAAACAUUUUCAAUGUUUAUAAUUUUGUAUUUAUAUAAAAUUGUGUGGUGUGUUUGUUUGAGGGUCUCUGGUUGACCUAGAGCUUUGACAAGUGUGCUCUUUGACACUGGGAAGAUGGCUCAGUAGUUAGGAGACAUACUGCUUUUGCAAAGGACCCAGAUUUGUUCUGCAAGUUGAUUUUGUAGAAGUGUUUUGUUACCAUUUGCCCCGCCUAAUGGUGCCAAUGAAGACAUGGUUCUUGGAUGCGGUCA
This is a long non-coding RNA of Meriones unguiculatus (Mongolian gerbil), 3263 nucleotides long. RefSeq lists it as uncharacterized. The transcript is spliced from 3 exons. The record is from RefSeq and is a predicted model, not a curated record. Lineage: Eukaryota; Metazoa; Chordata; Mammalia; Rodentia; Muridae.